RNAcentral lists this long non-coding RNA (285 nucleotides) under Prunus persica (peach). RNAcentral describes it as "long non-coding RNA (PPER_LNC006235)". Lineage: Eukaryota; Viridiplantae; Streptophyta; Magnoliopsida; Rosales; Rosaceae. The record is from RNAcentral.
GGGCUCUUCCUUGAUAAAAGACUAAGAUUAUUAUGCACAAAUACCAAGUCUUCAGCUCUUUGGGGUGUUAACUUGUUUCUUCUUAAAGAGUGAAUGAAACUAUAUGUACUCCAAUUUCUUUCACAACACGAGGAGGAACAAGGUUGUCCAAGUAGCUUCAAAGUUGUGGAUUGGAGAGUUGGUGUUGAAGCUCCAUGAACAAUCUACCACACCAUUGGUUCCAUGUGAAACCUAUCAUUCAUAGCAUCAAUAGCUACAAAGUCAUCUAAGCACAUUGAAAAAGAG